Molecule: ribosomal RNA, 300 nt
Filed under: uncultured Pyrodictium sp.
Lineage: Archaea; Thermoproteati; Thermoproteota; Thermoprotei; Desulfurococcales; Pyrodictiaceae
Description: bacterial SSU rRNA
Rfam family: Bacterial small subunit ribosomal RNA
Source: RNAcentral
GCGAACGGCGUGCUGGGAGCCGCGGGAAUACGAAGGAGCCGAGCGGUAUUCUGAGUUAUUGGGUUUAAAGGGGGCGUAGGCGGAUGAGUAAGUCAGUGGGGAAAGCCCGUCGCUUAACGGCGGAAUUGCCAUUGAUACUGCUAGGCUGGAGUAUGGUUGAGGUGGGCGGAAUGUGUCAUGUAGCGGUGAAAUGCUUAGAUAUGACCCAGAACACCAAUUGCGAAGGCAGCUCGCUAAGCCAUAACUGACGCUGAGGCACGAAAGCGUGGGGAGCAAACAGGAUUAGAUACCCUGGUAGUC